RNAcentral lists this ribosomal RNA (567 nucleotides) under uncultured bacterium. RNAcentral describes it as "bacterial SSU rRNA". It matches the Rfam family "Bacterial small subunit ribosomal RNA", at positions 338 to 916 of the family's 1533-position model. The record is from RNAcentral.
CCUACGGGAGGCAGCAGUAGGGAAUAUUGGGCAAUGGGCGAAAGCCUGACCCAGCGACGCCGCGUGAGGGAUGAAGGUCUUCGGAUUGUAAACCUCUUUCAGUAGGGAAGAAGCGAAAGUGACGGUACCUAAAGAAGAAGCACCGGCUAACUAUGUGCCAGCAGCCGCGGUAAUACAUAGGGUGCAAGCGUUGUCCGGAAUUAUUGGGCGUAAAGAGCUCGUAGGUCGUUUGUCGCGUCGAUUGUGAAAAUCUGAGGCUCAACCUCAGACCUGCAGUCGAUACGGGCAAACUAGAGUGUGGUAGGGGAGACUGGAAUUCCCGGUGUAGCGGUGGAAUGCGCAGAUAUCAGGAGGAACACCGAUGGCGAAGGCAGGUCUCUGGGCCAAUACUGACACUGAGGAGCGAAAGCGUGGGGAGCGAACAGGAUUAGAUACCCUGGUAGUCCACGCCGUAAACGGUGGGCGCUAGUUGUGCGAACCUUCCACGGUUUGUGCGACGCAGCUAACGCAUUAAGCGCCCCGCCUGGGGAGUACGAUCGCAAGAUUAAAACUCAAAGGAAUUGACGG